RNAcentral lists this ribosomal RNA (637 nucleotides) under uncultured bacterium. RNAcentral's name for it is "bacterial SSU rRNA". It matches the Rfam family "Bacterial small subunit ribosomal RNA", at positions 794 to 1428 of the family's 1533-position model. The record is from RNAcentral.
UCCACGCCCUAAACGAUGGACACUAGGUGCAGGUGGUAUUGAAUCCGUCUGUGCCGUCGCUAACGCAUUAAGUGUCCCGCCUGGGGAGUAUGGCCGCAAGGUUGAAACACAAAGGAAUUGACGGGGGCCCGCACAAGCGGUGGAGUAUGUGGUUUAAUUCGACGCAACGCGAAGAACUUACCUGGGUUUGACAUCUCGGGAAUCCUGUGGAGACAUGGGAGUGCUCUGCAAGGAGAGCCCGAAGACAGGUGCUGCAUGGCUGUCGUCAGCUCGCGUCGUGAGAUGUUGGGUUAAGUCCCGCAACGAGCGCAACCCUCGCCUUUAGUUGCCAGCAUUUAGUUGGGCACUCUAGAGGGACUGCCGGUGUUAAACCGGAGAAAGGUGGGGAUGACGUCAAGUCCUCAUGCCCCUUAUGUCCAGGGCUACACACGUACUACAAUGGUCGGUACAGAGGGUAGCGAGCCUGUGAGGGUGAGCCAAUCUCAGAAAGCCGAUCUCAGUUCGGAUUGGAGUCUGCAACUCGACUCCAUGAAGUUGGAAUCGCUAGUAAUCGCGGAUCAGCAUGCCGCGGUGAAUACGUUCCCGGGCCUUGUACACACCGCCCGUCACACCACGAGAGUUGGUUAUACCAGAAGUC